Sphaerodactylus townsendi is the source of this 224-nucleotide long non-coding RNA. RefSeq lists it as uncharacterized. The record is from RefSeq and is a predicted model, not a curated record. The transcript has 4 exons. NCBI's taxonomy places the organism in Eukaryota, Metazoa, Chordata, Lepidosauria, Squamata, Sphaerodactylidae.
CCAAUCAUUCUUUCUUGAUAAUUAGCUGAGUCAGCUUGGCAAAAAUCAACAGUUGCUAACAGGUGUUAAUCAUUUGAGUCCUAACUAAAAGGAACAUGCUCUACAGCUGGGGCUCUACACUUAGCCAAACAAGCUACUAAAAUAGAGAAAUUUAAAAUGAUAGACUCAAUUUCUCUACAGGGACCCUGGAAGGGAUCCUCUAACUACUGCAGGAGUCCACCGCA